CCCCUGAACUCUGGGAAUAAGUCGGUGGAAACGCCGUCUAAUACCGGAUACGACCUUCCACCUCAUGGUGGAGGGUGGAAAGUUUUUUCGGUCAGGGAUGGGCUCGCGGCCUAUCAGCUUGUUGGUGGGGUAACGGCCUACCAAGGCGAUUACGGGUAGCCGGCCUGAGAGGGCGACCGGCCACACUGGGACUGAGACACGGCCCAGACUCCUGCGGGAGGCAGCAGUGGGGAAUAUUGCGCAAUGGGCGAAAGCCUGACGCAGCGACGCCGCGUGGGGGAUGACGGCCUUCGGGUUGUAAACCUCUUUUACCACCAACGCAGGCUCCGGGUUCUCUCGGGGUUGACGGUAGGUGGGGAAUAAGGACCGGCUAACUACGUGCCAGCAGCCGCGGUAAUACGUAGGGUCCGAGCGUUGUCCGGAAUUAUUGGGCGUAAAGAGCUCGUAGGCGGCGUGUCGCGUCUGCUGUGAAAGACCGGGGCUUAACUCCGGUUCUGCAGUGGAUACGGGCAUGCUAGAGGUAGGUAGGGGAGACUGGAAUUCCUGGUGUAGCGGUGAAAUGCGCAGAUAUCAGGAGGAACACCGGUGGCGAAGGCGGGUCUCUGGGCCUUACCUGACGCUGAGGAGCGAAAGCUG
RNAcentral lists this ribosomal RNA (636 nucleotides) under Nocardiopsis sp. PIP 172. RNAcentral's name for it is "bacterial SSU rRNA". It matches the Rfam family "Bacterial small subunit ribosomal RNA", at positions 129 to 762 of the family's 1533-position model. Lineage: Bacteria; Bacillati; Actinomycetota; Actinomycetes; Streptosporangiales; Nocardiopsidaceae. The record is from RNAcentral.